CUCUCUCUCUCUUUUGAAGGGUUGUGACUCUUGUGAAUGAGCUGAAGACUGAAAUUCUUUCUCUUCUCUCUUCUUUUUCUUAAGAUUCAAGCUGAGUUAGGAUCUGCAAAAUCAAAAAGAGACGGAUUAUGCACACGCCAUGGACGGAUAGAAAUUAGAUAACAAAAGAGAGUCACGGAUGUAGCCAUUAAGUAACAAACCCAAACACCCAACCAAGCACAGAAAACAUUGAAAAAUACAAUGACUAUUAAACAAAAAUUAAUUAUGUCUCUUAUUCAUUUGAUGACAAUCACCGCCGGUAGUAGUAGGAUUUUGGUUCUAUUAAUCAAUCGAUUCAAAAUAGACGAGUUGAUAGCGAGAGAGAGGAGAAAAUUGUUGAAACACACGUUGGUUGAUGAAGAUCAGAUUGCCAUCAGGGGAGAUUUUAUAAUCUAAUAAUGCCACAUUAACGGGUCUAGCUAAAAAGUUGGUCAAUUUACUCAACCUACGUAUCACUUUCCUAAAUAGAACACCCUUAAUUCACUUAACGGAUUCACGAAAUAUCAAUAAUUCGGUGUAAAUUCGUUUUGAUUGAUUCAUGUAUUCACUCAUUAAUGCCGCG
This 601-nucleotide long non-coding RNA is filed under the name Actinidia chinensis (golden kiwifruit). RNAcentral describes it as "long non-coding RNA (ACHI_LNC000590)". Lineage: Eukaryota; Viridiplantae; Streptophyta; Magnoliopsida; Ericales; Actinidiaceae. The record is from RNAcentral.